UUAUAGACAAUGAAAUUUAACAAAUACAAAAAUUUCAUCACCAAAAUCUCCAGGGAUCCUUAAAUGGAGGGACAUAGUUGUCUGUGGGAGGGAGAAGGUGAAAAGAUGCCACUGUUUUCUCUAAGAGAGGCCCCAUCUAGUUCCACUGCUUGCCAAGAGUAGAAGCAUUCAGUGAGUACAAAUAACCUGCAAACAAGUGUCCAGAAAGCUAAAUAGGGAUUCUAAACGUGAAACAAACAUAAU
Molecule: long non-coding RNA, 243 nt
Organism: Telopea speciosissima
Lineage: Eukaryota; Viridiplantae; Streptophyta; Magnoliopsida; Proteales; Proteaceae
Exons: 2
Source: RefSeq, a predicted model, not a curated record